GAUGACUUGCCGCCGGGUAAGCAUUUGAGCGCAGAUCUGUAUCGUUAGGCCUUAGAAGAUACAGAUACGGGCGCUUUUGUUUU
RNAcentral lists this non-coding RNA (83 nucleotides) under unclassified sequences. The record is from RNAcentral.